UCGCCCCGCUGUGGUACGUCCCAGGGAGCCGCCCGCCCCCUCGCGGCCAGACGCGGCCCCGCUCUCGCGGGAGCGCCUCCGCCCACAGCUCUCGCGCGAGCCCUGCUCCUAUAAUCUCGCGCGAGCGGCCUCUUCCGCCCUUUUCGCCAGCGGGGCCGGGCUAUGGCGGUCGGCAAGAACAAGCGCCUCACCAAGGGCGGCAAGAAGGGCGCCAAGAAGAAAGUGGUUGAUCCUUUCUCCAAAAAGGACUGGUAUGAUGUCAAAGCACCAGCAAUGUUUAAUAUCCGAAACAUUGGGAAGACGCUUGUCACCAGGACUCAAGGAACUAGUGUUUUAUUUUGUUUCAUACUACAGAAAUUGCCUCCGAUGGACUAAAGGGUCGUGUAUUUGAAGUGAGUUUGGCUGAUCUGCAGAACGAUGAGGUUGCCUUCCGUAAAUUUAAACUGGUAACUGAGGAUGUUCAGGGCAAAAACUGUCUGACCAACUUCCAUGGAAUGGACCUCACCCGGGAUAAAAUGUGCUCCAUGGUCAAAAAAUGGCAGACAAUGAUUGAAGCCCAUGUAGAUGUCAAAACAACCGAUGGUUACCUACUGCGCCUCUUCUGUGUGGGUUUUACAAAGAAGCGUAAUAACCAAAUCCGCAAGACCUCAUAUGCCCAGCAUCAGCAGGUUCGACAGAUUCGCAGGAAGAUGAUGGAAAUCAUGAACCGAGAGGUCCAAACCAAUGACCUGAAAGAAGUUGUCAAUAAACUGAUCCCAGACAGCAUUGGUAAAGACAUAGAGAAGGCGUGUCAGUCCAUUUACCCUCUUCACGAUGUCUAUGUUCGCAAGGUUAAGAUGCUGAAGAAGCCCAAGUUUGAAUUGGGCAAGCUGAUGGAACUCCAUGGUGAAGGUGGUGGUGCUGGAAAACCGUCUGGGGAUGAGGCAGGCACUAAAGUAGAGCGAGCUGAUGGAUAUGAGCCGCCUGUGCAAGAGUCUGUCUGAAACUAAAAAUUGAAUGAAAAUAAAAGUUUUAAUAUACAGAACUAA
Molecule: RNA transcript, 1028 nt
Organism: Columba livia (rock pigeon)
Lineage: Eukaryota; Metazoa; Chordata; Aves; Columbiformes; Columbidae
Gene: RPS3A
Gene name: ribosomal protein S3A
Exons: 6
Source: RefSeq, a predicted model, not a curated record